Molecule: ribosomal RNA, 139 nt
Filed under: Involutiscutellula rubra
Lineage: Eukaryota; Fungi; Ascomycota; Sordariomycetes; Diaporthales; Tubakiaceae
Description: partial 18S ribosomal RNA
Rfam family: Eukaryotic small subunit ribosomal RNA
Source: RNAcentral
GGUUCAGUGAGGCGUUCGGACUGGCCCAGGGAGGUCGGCAACGACCACCCAGGGCCGGAAAGUUCUCCAAACUCGAUCAUUUAGAGGAAGUAAAAGUCGUAACAAGGUCUCCGUUGGUGAACCAGCGGAGGGAUCAUUG